CCCCUCUAAUUUCCUUACCUAUCAGACCUAAACCCUGGUCUGAGUGGUUACAGGAGGAAGAGUAAAAUUGAAACUAACGUCAAUGCUUUUGUGGCACACAAGUAAGAGUCAAACAAAU
This 118-nucleotide small nucleolar RNA is filed under the name Echinops telfairi (small Madagascar hedgehog). RNAcentral describes it as "Small nucleolar RNA SNORA61 (ENSETEG00000024209.1)". Lineage: Eukaryota; Metazoa; Chordata; Mammalia; Afrosoricida; Tenrecidae. The record is from RNAcentral.